This 608-nucleotide ribosomal RNA is filed under the name Rhodobacteraceae bacterium N1. RNAcentral describes it as "bacterial SSU rRNA". It matches the Rfam family "Bacterial small subunit ribosomal RNA", at positions 107 to 750 of the family's 1533-position model. The record is from RNAcentral. Lineage: Bacteria; Pseudomonadati; Pseudomonadota; Alphaproteobacteria; Rhodobacterales; Paracoccaceae.
UUAGUAACGCGUGGGAAUAUACCCUUCACUACGGAAUAGCCUCGGGAAACUGGGAGUAAUACCGUAUACGCCCUUUGGGGGAAAGAUUUAUCGGUGAAGGAUUAGCCCGCGUCUGAUUAGAUAGUUGGUGGGGUAAUGGCCUACCAAGUCUACGAUCAGUAGCUGGUUUGAGAGGAUGAUCAGCAACACUGGGACUGAGACACGGCCCAGACUCCUACGGGAGGCAGCAGUGGGGAAUCUUAGACAAUGGGCGCAAGCCUGAUCUAGCCAUGCCGCGUGAGUGACGAAGGCCUUAGGGUCGUAAAGCUCUUUCGCCAGAGAUGAUAAUGACAGUAUCUGGUAAAGAAACCCCGGCUAACUCCGUGCCAGCAGCCGCGGUAAUACGGAGGGGGUUAGCGUUGUUCGGAAUUACUGGGCGUAAAGCGCACGUAGGCGGAUUGGAAAGUAUGGGGUGAAAUCCCAGGGCUCAACCCUGGAACGGCCUUGUAAACUCCCAGUCUAGAGUUCGAGAGAGGUGAGUGGAAUUCCAAGUGUAGAGGUGAAAUUCGUAGAUAUUUGGAGGAACACCAGUGGCGAAGGCGGCUCACUGGCUCGAUACUGACGCUGAG